RNAcentral lists this ribosomal RNA (253 nucleotides) under uncultured bacterium. Its description in RNAcentral is "partial 16S ribosomal RNA". It matches the Rfam family "Bacterial small subunit ribosomal RNA", at positions 524 to 776 of the family's 1533-position model. The record is from RNAcentral.
UACGGAGGGUGCAAGCGUUAUCCGGAUUUACUGGGUUUAAAGGGUGUGUAGGCGGACUUUUAAGUCAGGGGUGAAAUCCCGAGGCUCAACCUCGGAACUGCCUUUGAUACUAUUGGUCUUGAAUGUUGUUGAGGUGGGCGGAACGGGUCAUGUAGCGGUGAAAUGCAUAGAUAUGACCCGGAACACCGAUUGCGAAGGCAGCCCGCUAAGCAACUAUUGACGCUGAGGCACGAAAGCGUGGGGAGCGAACAGG